This 343-nucleotide ribosomal RNA is filed under the name uncultured soil bacterium. Its description in RNAcentral is "bacterial SSU rRNA". It matches the Rfam family "Bacterial small subunit ribosomal RNA", at positions 26 to 362 of the family's 1533-position model. The record is from RNAcentral.
AGGACGAACGCUGGCGGCGUGCUUAACACGUGCAAGUCGAGCGGAAAGGCCUUUCGGGGUACUCGAGCGGCGAACGGGUGAGUAACACGUGAGUAAUCUGCCCAUCGCUUCAGGAUAGCCAUCGGAAACGGUGAUUAAUACUGGAUAUGACAUUCCUUCGCAUGUUGGGGUGUCGGAAAGUUUUUUCGGCGGUGGAUGUGCUCGCGGCCUUAUCAGCUUGGUUGGUGGGUAAUGGCCUACCAAGGCUUUAGACGGGUAGCCGGCCUGGAGACGGGUCGACCGGGCCACGACGUGGGACUGACGACACGGCCCAGACCUCCGACGGGAGCAGCGAGGUGGGAAU